Herpailurus yagouaroundi (jaguarundi) is the source of this 598-nucleotide long non-coding RNA. RefSeq lists it as uncharacterized. The transcript is spliced from 2 exons. The record is from RefSeq and is a predicted model, not a curated record. Lineage: Eukaryota; Metazoa; Chordata; Mammalia; Carnivora; Felidae.
CGGAGGAGAAGAAACGCCCGCUGUCUGUCAUCACAGCCAAGAAGUCCUUGAAGCCUACACGACCAUCUCCUGUGGAGGCCAGAGGGUUUCCCGAGGAGGGUUCAGAGUACAAGAAUCCCUAAAAAAGGAGUUUUACGUCAACUGACACAGGACUUAUUAUAAAGUGACUUAUGAUCAACACAGUGUGAUACCGGAAUGAGGACAGAGAGAUAAAUGGAACAAAGAGAGUCCAGAAAUAGGCUUCCACAUGCACGUUCAACUGGUUUGCCACGAAGGUACAAACCCAGUGUGGAAAGGAGUCUUCAGUAAAUGGCGCUGGAAUGGAUGGAUGGCCACACGCAAAAAACUGAACCACUAUCUAACACGCAUGCACGCACGCGCAAGGAUUAACUCAAAACGGAUCCUAAAAUGUAAAUGUUAAGCCUGACAUGAAAAAAUUCUUGAAGAAAACAUAGGAGAACUUCUGAUGUGACCUUGGGUUAAGCAAAGAUGUCUAAGAAACAACACCAAAAAAUCAAGCCCUAACGAAAAUAUUGAUACAUUCGGCCUUAUCAGAAUUCAGAACUUCUGUUCUUUGAAAGUCACUGGUAAGAGAAUG